Hippocampus comes (tiger tail seahorse) is the source of this 686-nucleotide long non-coding RNA. RefSeq lists it as uncharacterized. The transcript is spliced from 3 exons. NCBI's taxonomy places the organism in Eukaryota, Metazoa, Chordata, Actinopteri, Syngnathiformes, Syngnathidae. The record is from RefSeq and is a predicted model, not a curated record.
CGUCGAGUGGGCGGGGUGUGACUGUAAAGCGAUUAUAAUGAGUCUGGGAAAAACAGCAGUGAGUGAGCAGAGGUUUGAGAAGAGGAGAUCGACAUUGAGGACUGAACAGCACAAAGGAUAGAAUUGAAUUAUUUUUUUUUGGUUCAAAAUGUCAGUUCAGGGUGUCGUUCGCCUUCCGCCCGAAGUCAUCUGGGACAGGCUCCAGCAAAUGUGAAUUCUUCAUUUGACUCCGAUUUGCCAAAAGAACACCAUUGCAUGGACACACUCAACUUCUUGUAGAAAGUCUUCCCUGAAGAGUGACAGAUGUGAAAACCGCAAAGGGGAGCUAACUUCAUCAUCUUCUAUUGUCACUUGCAAUAGCCAAGCCGAUACUUUUUGCCCAUGUUUAAAACAACAACACUCAGUGUUGAUGUACUCACAGGAGAGUUGACAUUUCACUCUCACCCACGUCACACAAACACGCCCAGACGGGUCCUAAAGGCACCGAUGACCAUGUAAUCCCUGUGUGCAUGGCGUCAUUUCCAGUCAGUGGGUGGGUCAUCAGUGACUUGUGAAACAUACCAGACACAAAGUUCUGCAAAGCCACCACGAUUCACAAACAACACACUCCUCUCCUCUCCCUCACUUUUGCCUCACUGUCGCUCCAGCAGCCCGAGGGUCAAGUCACACAUUCACGUCCCAAAAAG